UACGGAGAAUCCGAGCGUUAUCCGGAAUCAUUGGGUUUAAAGGGUCCGUAGGCGGGCCGUUAAGUCAGGGGUGAAAGUCUGCGGCUCAACCGUAGGACUGCCCUUGAUACUGGUGGCCUUGAGUUGUGGUGAAGCAGCCAGAAUAUGUGGUGUAGCGGUGAAAUGCAUAGAUAUCACAUGGAAUACCGAUUGCGAAGGCAGGCUGCUAACCAUAUACUGACGCUGAUGGACGAAAGCGUGGGUAGCGAACAGGAUUAGAUACCCUGGUAGUCCACGCCCUAAACGAUGGAUACUAGCUGUUCGGAUUUAUCUGAGUGGCUAAGCGAAAGUGAUAAGUAUCCCACCUGGGGAGUACGUUCGCAAGAAUGAA
Molecule: ribosomal RNA, 370 nt
Filed under: uncultured bacterium
Lineage: Bacteria
Description: bacterial SSU rRNA
Rfam family: Bacterial small subunit ribosomal RNA
Source: RNAcentral